Juglans microcarpa x Juglans regia is the source of this 474-nucleotide long non-coding RNA. RefSeq lists it as uncharacterized. The transcript is spliced from 2 exons. The record is from RefSeq and is a predicted model, not a curated record. Lineage: Eukaryota; Viridiplantae; Streptophyta; Magnoliopsida; Fagales; Juglandaceae.
CUAGAACUAGAGGUGACAAGACGACCACUAUGUAACUGCAUGCAAUGCAACACCAACUAAAUGAAGUGCAAUGGAGAGAUCAAUGAACAAUAAGUGUAAGCAAUGAAAAAUAUCAACCUGAGUAAAAAUAAAUUUCUAUUUUGGGAUUAAGUAAAUCCAAAUACGGCAAACAAAUAAUGCUGAUAUUUAAAAUAACAAAGCAAGGACCAAAUACCAAUCAAGAAAAUCCAAUCACGUAGGAUUGCUUUUUUUUUUUUUUUUUAGGAACAAUUAAUGAAAAGAUGUAAAGCAAAGGUACGGACUAUGAAAAUGAAAGAAUGGGGACAUAAGGAAUAUGAAGCAAAACAAAAUCUAAGUGUUGGAUAAAUUGGGUCGUAGCAAAUGUGGGGUAAAAUUAUCCACGGAGACUAAAUCAGCCAAGGGGUCCAAUCAAAUGGGUUUGGAUAAAAUUACUACGAAUAAUAGUAGCACAUA